CACGUAGGGGGCAAGCGUUGUCCGGAAUCAUUGGGCGUAAAGAGCUCGUAGGCGGCUCAGUAAGUCGGGUGUGAAACCUCCAGGCUCAACCUGGAGACGCCACCCGAUACUGCUGUGGCUAGAGUCCAGUAGGGGAGUGUGGAAUUCCCGGUGUAGCGGUGAAAUGCGCAGAUAUCGGGAGGAACACCAGCGGCGAAGGCGGCACUCUGGGCUGGUACUGACGCUGAGGAGCGAAAGCAUGGGGAGCGAACAGG
RNAcentral lists this ribosomal RNA (254 nucleotides) under uncultured bacterium. Its description in RNAcentral is "partial 16S ribosomal RNA". It matches the Rfam family "Bacterial small subunit ribosomal RNA", at positions 524 to 776 of the family's 1533-position model. The record is from RNAcentral.